AACGUAGGAGGCGAGCGUUAUCCGGAUUCACUGGGCGUAAAGCGCGUGUAGGCGGUCGGUCAAGUCGGCUGUUAAAGCCCCUGGCUUAACUGGGGGAGGCCAGCCGAGACUGCUCGACUUGAGGGUGGUAGAGGAGAGUGGAACUCCCGGUGUAGCGGUGGAAUGCGUAGAGAUCGGGAAGAACACCAGUGGCGAAGGCGACUCUCUGGGCCACACCUGACGCUGAGACGCGAAAGUGUGGGGAGCAAACGGG
This 253-nucleotide ribosomal RNA is filed under the name uncultured bacterium. RNAcentral describes it as "partial 16S ribosomal RNA". It matches the Rfam family "Bacterial small subunit ribosomal RNA", at positions 524 to 776 of the family's 1533-position model. The record is from RNAcentral. RNAcentral also lists the same sequence under 1 other name.